Long non-coding RNA from Prosopis cineraria, 4041 nucleotides. RefSeq lists it as uncharacterized. NCBI's taxonomy places the organism in Eukaryota, Viridiplantae, Streptophyta, Magnoliopsida, Fabales, Fabaceae. The record is from RefSeq and is a predicted model, not a curated record. The transcript has 3 exons.
UCCGAAGAAUCAAUGAACUUUUGCCAUUUAAUUAUUUGCAAUCAUUUUUGUGCACAUCUUGAAUGAGUGGCAUAUACCCGGCGUAUAAAUACAUUCCUCCUGAACUAUUUAAAUGUGAUUUGAACUCCCAAAUAAAGAAAAUUACGGCAUCAUCUUCCACGCAAAACAGGCCAAAACGAAGCAAAAAAUUAGCUUGGGAAGAUUCUAGUGAUUUAAAGCAUCAUACUCAAAAUAUGGAUAGCAAGUGCAAGUGGUAGUCCUUGAGCCCUUUUUUGAUCCCUGAACCCAAAUUAGUCUUCUUAUUACCCUUUAGUUUCUUGAGAUUGCAGUGCUUCAUUUUUUUCUUCUUUUGUCACGUGCGUCAAAAGUCUCCAAUUUACUAACUGCUGCUAGAAGUACCAACCUUUCGUGUUACAGCUUCCUUGUAUGAUUGUUUUCGCUUCUCUUUUUUAUUUAUUUAUUUGGCACUAUGAAAACUGGAGAAAAUGCACCUAGUUAAUAAAGCAAUUUAUGCACAUAAAACCCUAUUAUAACUUCUUGCAGCAUGGCAAGAAAGAAGAAUAUUGAAGGAACCUUUUAAUCCAGGUUGAGAUUGGGCAUUAGCAAUAGCCUGUAAGAAGAGUAAGAUCUGCCUAGAAAGUAACAACACAUGCAUAUUAACAGCUCCUUAGACGAGUGUACAAGCAAGAAAACAAGAGGGGCAGUCCCAUUGCUGAAAUGACUGAAAAGGAGAAAUAUAGUCUGAUGGUGGUAUUAAAGAAGCUGAGCUUGUAAGAAACUACUACUAAAUGACGGCAUGAACAUGUCUAAAAUGAAAGCUAUUUAUUUAGUCCAUCAAAUUUUGAAUGUUAAAAGACAAACCGCAAACACACUGAAGGGUUCACCAUUUGGAAAGAUGUGAUUGAUAACGACACAGCAAUUCAGCCUGGGGGCCCCUGGGCUUCUGGGUGUAUUUUACCAGAUAACAAAAAAUUAUUGCCCAUGUCAUGAUGACAACCCGCCUAACCCUGGGAAGUUCCACAAGCAAGAGGAAAUAGAUUCCUUCAGAAAUUUUAAAAGCAUCACAUACUCAUUUGUAGGAUUGCUUUCAAUUAUUGUCAACUCUAUACCGAAUGUAAAAUUCAAGACAAUUCUUUUUAAGAGCGUGCUUGGAAAUGUGGGAGCAGAGUUGUAUUAUCAAAAGGCAUUUUGAAUUUAAGUUGGGCUUAAUAAAGCAUAUCUCAAUUGGCGUCGGGGUCAUGAUUCCACCCAUCUUUUUCCAUCGUGUAUUAGAUUUAUCUAUUGCUCUCGGAAGUUAUGCCAAGCAAACUUUAUUCUGCUGGCAUUUCUGGACAACUGCAGGACCCCCCCCCCCCAAAAAAAAAUUCAUUUUGAUGUUGAAAAUGUUGCCAACUAACAUUAUUCUUACAUGUGUUAUCCUUCACAUUAUUUCUGGGCCAGACAGGGUUUUGGCCCUAUUUCGGAUAUGUCUAUGAUAUAUUCAACAACUCUGGCUUUAUGAUAACGAACUUGAUGGUGGAAAUUCACCACGACUUGUGUCCACAUGAAUAUGAACGUACGUGUUUACCUUAGCUGGAUUCACAUGUAUCACAUUUUCUGCCUUAUCUGAUACACCUCUUGCUUUGCGUUCAAGGUGUUGCAUUUAAAAAUAUUGUAUCAAUUCACAAAAUGAAUAUAUAUAUAUAUAUUGCACAGUUUUGUUUUGGGUUGAAAUUACAUUUGAAGUUCUAAACAGUGAACUGGAAACGGAGGGAGCGCUGAAAUCUGAACUCUGGGUUCUAUUAAUAACAAGAAUACUCAUGCCAUUAGAGCAGAAUUAAAUAGAAAGGCCAUACCGUUUCUCAUUCAUAUAUAUAUAUAUAUUCAUAUAAAUAUAAAGAGAGUACCUUGAACGAAAAAAAAAAAUUGAAUAGGUCAGAUUCUUUUGGGGCUAAUUGGAGAAUAUUGUUUGGAGCCAAAGGAAAAACAUGUGAGGUGACUGUUAAAAAAGCAUGGGACAAUGUUCUCUGAUUCCUCAUGAGUAGGCAACUUUACUCGGUGAAAGAAUUCGAAUUUGCUUUUUAUAUAUGUUACAUCUAGAAUAUGCUUAUGGGCAUGUCGUCAAGAGUAGGCUGCGAUGGCGCACGGCAAUUGCACAGAAGAGUGGGUUGUUACACUUUUCUUUCCCCUCCUUUUUACAUAUACGCUUAAAUACCUUUAAACGAUCUUUCUGUUUUUAAGCUUACAAUUCAAGGUUGGAAUAUUGCUCCAUAUGACAACAUAUUAGUGAUGGAUCUCCAUCUCUAUUUUUCCCUCUACCUUAGUGCCUAUCAAAAGAGGCAUCCUUUACUUGAGAGCUGAGAAUAAACGCAAGGGCUUGGUCAAGAUUUUUGGCUUUGCUACCUAACAUCAAACAUGACAAAUUAGGUAUUGACAAAGAAAUUACAAAAGCGGGUCGGGUCCCUAUGUUUGAAGGAAAACUGUUGAAGGUGAGCAGAGGAACCUGCAGAGAUUGGGGUUGACCAGACUAUCAAUAGCGUUCUGUUCUUCGAUUAAUAAAACAGAAAAUCCUCCGAUGAUUGAAGAUCGGAAGUGGAUGGUGCAAAAACAGUGGGCGAUUGGGAACAACAAUGAACGAUUGAUUGGCAGUUGGUUCAGAUUCCAGGUGGGUGUGACCCAAACUUUCAAAUUUUCUUACUUUUGCUUUGUUUUCUGUCCAAUAAGUUUAUCUUUUGAGUUUUGGGGUUAGUUUAUUAUCUUUAGGACUUAAACUAGAAGUUUCUGCUACUUGAAGCUCUUGCGUGUGUUUAGUUGGGCGGAAAAUCUGUUUCAUCUAUCUCAGAAUUCAUCAUAACAUGUCCUCCCAGAUAGGUCUGGUAUUUAACCUUUGUUGGUUAUCUUGAACAUUUAAAAAACGAAAUAACUAUGGUAUAGGAUUGUAUUUGUGUGAAGCUCAUUAUUUCUAGUGGGUCAGGUCUGUUGGGCGGUGUCAUAUCUUCGUGGAUUGUUUGAAGCCACACUUUGAUUUAAUCCAGCCAUUAAUGUAAAUCAACUUUUGAAUUCUACUAUAAUUCACUGCAAUGUUCACGUGAAAUCUAGCGGCAAUAAAAAGUUCCCCUAAAAAGGCCAUUUGAAAGACGGAGUCAAGUGUAGGUAGGUAGUGAUCCAUGAUUCAAAUCCUCCAGACAUGGAAAAGAAUGCCCUAAAAACUUAAAAAGGUAAGUUGUUUUCACAUUAUAACAAUUAAAUGACCUUUUUUGGUGCAUAAAGACUGGGGUUUUAUGCUUAUACACGUUAACAAGCUUUGAGAUAACAUGGUGUGAACAUAGAUAGCGUGAGCUUAAAAAGUUAAAUGAUGGCAAAGGCUAAAAAGUUGGGCUCAUUUAGUUCUUUCAUUGGGGCCUCAUUGGCACUUGGGCAGAAAGUGGAUGAAAGAUUGGGGGAAUUUCAUUGGGAUUGUAUUAAUUGUCUAUUUCACUUGGGUUUGAUUCUAACUGAAAAUAAGGCACUAUUCCCGCCAACACAAGUCUACGCGUCCUUCUCAGAAGCUACCAGCCCGAGGAAGGAAGCCACCUAAUUCCUAACUUAUUCUUGUGUGUCGGAAGAAGAACGGAAGAUGUAAUAAGUCAGGACAUAGCCGAAACAGGAGUGGGGACCGUGUUGUAAGUGCAUGGAAUUUUAUUCAGUGGAUCUAUUGCUGAUGUAACUGGGAAUCUGAGAUUAUCACAAUACUUGCACAUAGCCUCGUUUGACACUACCCCAAAUAGGACUGGCCAUCAGACAUAAAUAUCAAAAUGAUAGAUUUUAUUGGGAUCUCUCACACUGUCACGGAUUGUACGUUGCCAUCAUAAAGCUGGACUAUCUUUAAUUAAUACAGAUGUAAGUAACAAUUAGCUUUAAUAAUUGAGUGAGACAUGUUCCUAAUCCAAUCAUUUGGCUGCGGAUGAGACAGUCUUCGCGUUAGCUGAUGUAAAGAUAAUAGCAGAGAAAUGGAGAGACAAUAAUUAUGAUGUAAUCUGAGGAUGUACGUGUAGAAAGUUCUGUGGGUCUAUACGUAUAAAU